RNAcentral lists this ribosomal RNA (411 nucleotides) under uncultured bacterium. RNAcentral's name for it is "bacterial SSU rRNA". It matches the Rfam family "Bacterial small subunit ribosomal RNA", at positions 370 to 772 of the family's 1533-position model. The record is from RNAcentral.
AAUGGGGGAAACCCUGACGCAGCGACGCCGUGUGAGGGAAGAAGGCUUUCGGGUCGUAAACCUCUGUCGGGAGGGAAGAACCUUCCAGGUCUGAACAAGGCCUGGAACUGACGGUACCUCCAAAGGAAGCACCGGCUAACUCCGUGCCAGCAGCCGCGGUAAUACGGAGGGUGCAAGCGUUAAUCGGAAUCACUGGGCGUAAAGCGCGCGUAGGCCGCCUUCUAAGUCGGACGUGAAAGCCCUCGGCUCAACCGAGGAACUGCGUUCGAAACUGGGAGGCUUGAGUCCUGGAGAGGGUGGCGGAAUUCCGGGUGUAGGAGUGAAAUCCGUAGAUAUCCGGAGGAACACCGGUGGCGAAGGCGGCCACCUGGACAGGUACUGACGCUGAGGCGCGAAAGCGUGGGGAGCAAA